AGAUGCAAUGUUGUUUGUUCAUUGUGAUAUAUUUUGAAAAAUAAAACCUAUUGAUAGUAAGUUGUAAGGUAUAAUUUUAAAAUUUUGAAAUAUUUUAAUUGGCACUGAUGUGCCACUAUAUACAGUUUAUAUGACGUCAUUUCCCUGACGUAACCUGCUUCUAGCAAUAUGAAAAACUGGGUGGUUGGAGGCUGUUAAACACGUCAGUAACACUUCUCAUGUCUUUCAUAUUUGUGACAGCAACCUUCUCAGAUAACGUGCAGGCUUUCAACGGCACACCAAUGUUUAUACCUGUUUCUUUCUUUGUAUUUUAAUUGAGGUCUAUUUGUCGUAUAAAAAUAUUGUAGAUGUAGGGCCGAGGUGACGGUUGUAAAAACUGCAUCCGUCUAUAUGGCCUGAGCGUCGGUAUUGCCAAUACCUUACAACGAAAAGACGUGCAUGUGCAGAGGUCACCUUCAGUAAGUGUGCAGACGUUUGGAACUGAAAUCUGUCUGGGUUGUCACAAAACAGAAUACACAAUCCUUGAGUAAGGGGGGCGACUCUAAGUCCAGCUUUGGACACGGAAUUUGUAAAUUGCCCUGUUAUCACUGCCGUUGGUGACAACAGGCAGCCGACGGUACGUGCCUCUUUUGUGAUGUCUACUCUUCGUUGUAGACGUGCAAGUAUGUGUGAAAGCUGGGCUGCAAAAAUGAUAGAUUCAUACAGCUAUAACUUUUGUAAAUAUACAGCGAAAAUCCUUUAAAUUCAGGUAUAUACGUUUUCUCCCCAUUGGAAAAGUUCUCUUAGCCGUGCAAGGUUUUCUCUGCGGUAGUCCCCCACCCUGUGCUGCUCACUUUUUUUUUCUAAUCUGAAAGAGCAACCAUAUUUCUUAGAAGGCCCUUGGACACUUAACCUAAGAUCUCCCCCACCCUACUUUGUAAAUGAUCCCGCUGUUCAACUUCGGUCUAUUUGUAUAUUUGUCCGUUAUCAUCAUUCUGAAAAUGAACUGUUCCCCAUUCUCUGAUAGUGUUUUCUCUGCUGAUGAUAUGACAAGACAGCAUGGUUUGUCCCGAUAAAGUACAUGCCACUAUUAUUGAUACAUAUGGAUUUAUUUAUUUAUUUGAUUGGAGUUUUACGUCGUAUUCAAGAAUAUUUUACUUAUACGACCAACCUUACGGGGGAGGUAAACGGGCAAAGCCCGCGGGAAAACAAUACCACCCGCUAAAGGCUGGCAGGGUAUUGUUCUCGCCUGGUCGAUUAGUCUAGAUAAACGGAAAAAGAAUACCUAAAAUAAAUCUAAUUUUAAAAAAAAAUUAAAUCUUGUAAAAGGCUCUUAUUCGCUAAUUAGCAGUGCAUUAAUUUGUCAGGUGCGGGGAACAGGUUUGGUCAAUCUGUCACGGAAAUGUACGUUUUACCAGCUAUGUUCAAUAUACACUCCUCCACGACAGCAACGUGCUUCAGGAUAGAACAUCAAACUGCCCACAUUGAUAGCUCGCGCAUCACUUCCUUGUGUGAACCCCUGCCCUCACCAGCUGGUUUUAGAGAGUUUGUGUGGCUAUCAGGCUUGGCUUGACACGUGACUCACGAGAGGAGGUCAUCAUUGUACAAUAUAAACGGAGUCGGAUCAGCAAUCCUUAUACAUACUCUAGGAGCAUCGUAGGCUUACACAUUUCAAAGUAUUCAUCUUACAGACGCCCGAAGUGUGCGGACAACGUGGGAAGACCUACACACACAAGUUUUGGGUAACCGAAGCUAAGAGAAGUCCUGGGUGUACACAGAACGAGGGGUGCAGUUGUAUCAAACUCUGGACGGUUUCUGUAGAAAGGCGUGAAAAUGGGAGGAAGAGAGUUCACUCACAAUCAACGCGACAAUCAGAGGUCAGACAGGCAACGGAAUGCUACAAGAUCCAACAGAGGCAACCGUUUGUUGAGGAUAUCAAACUUGACACCGCAGGAAUCAACACCAAAUACAGCAUAUGUGGAUUCAAACUGGGGACCAGUUUUCAAGAACAAGUUUCAUUUUGCGGAAAUGCAUUUUAUUUGAGUCUUUACACCCAGACUUCGCGAAAGGACGCUCAUGUAGAUAUGCCCGGGUUACCCAGCUUUAGAAACUGCUGCAAUAACCCAACUCUCGUUACGCGUUUAACACCAAACAAAAUGACGAGUGCCUCUCGGGUGUCAGUUACGUCUUUCAGCUCCGGGCUACUUACAAGAAGUCCCAAGCCAUCUGUCACCUCUUUAAUUGCUAAGGCAACGUUUUAAUUCGGCUUCAGGUGGGUCGCCUUCCAGGAAAACAAAUUACGCCAUGAACUGCGCAUGGCAACUGGGCCCGAAAGUUACAAAACACGUGCGGUUGAUUAUAAUGGCGGAGUCCAUAUGGCUGCACGAGCUCAUUGGUUUCCGUAGUAUUUGUGAAGUUAAAUUAGUCAACUACCAAAAAACAACAGUCCAAGAUUGAUGGUGUAUCUCUAACCUUUAUAUUACCUAUGUGGCUGGUUACAUUAUCUCGAAUUGCGCAUGCGCAAUCUGAACGUCUUACAUAGCCAUGGUACUUAGGCCGUCACUGUGUGUAACGGUCGUCUGUAUGCACACACAGACGUCGUCAUGGAAAAUUUCUGUCUGCUCAAUAUACAAGCAUUCAAAUUGCUCACUGGCCAUGCUCCAUGAUCUUCAAGCAAUACUUUCGAUAUUUGUCGAUAAAUUUUUAUUUAUUUUCUUUGAAAUACCCUGAAGAUGCCCCCUUUCAUCUACUGCUAGGGGAAAUUAUGGGCGAAGAUAUUUUGACACGGAAACAACGCCGCAAUAUUAAAUGAUUGAUUAUUGAUUGAUUGAUUAAAUAUUGCUUCCUGGCAAUGGGUUAUAUAUAAGGCCGGAUGGAAUAACUCUUAUAGUAAAGGUAUUUCUUUUGUCAGUGAUUCCAGGAAAAGGCGGACACAUAACAUUUGAGAUAAGUGUCGCUAAGUUAUGUAAUUAAAAGUGUUUUGUUCCUUUUGUGAAGGAAUUUGUCUACCCUACAAUUUGUUGUGACUGUUGUCUUGUAUGAAUUAAUUGCCAUCAUCGCCCCUCCCCUCCGUUCAACCCACCUGAUAGGCUUGUCCGCGUUCUUGGCCGAGUUCAGCGAUCGGAGUUGAGACGAAGGUACGAUCGAUUGUUGAAAACAAGAGCAUUAAUGUCUAAAUAUAAUGUGUAUACGUUCAAUACACAAAUGGAAAUCAAA
Long non-coding RNA from Liolophura sinensis, 3195 nucleotides. RefSeq lists it as uncharacterized. Lineage: Eukaryota; Metazoa; Mollusca; Polyplacophora; Chitonida; Chitonidae. The record is from RefSeq and is a predicted model, not a curated record. The transcript has 4 exons.